AAAUUGAAGAGUUUGAUCAUGGCUCAGAUUGAACGCUGGCGGCAGGCCUAACACAUGCAAGUCGAACGGUAACAGGAAGCAGCUUGCUGCUUCGCUGACGAGUGGCGGACGGGUGAGUAAUGUCUGGGAAACUGCCUGAUGGAGGGGGAUAACUACUGGAAACGGUAGCUAAUACCGCAUAACGUCGCA
This 189-nucleotide ribosomal RNA is filed under the name Escherichia coli. RNAcentral's name for it is "partial 16S ribosomal RNA". It matches the Rfam family "Bacterial small subunit ribosomal RNA", at positions 1 to 183 of the family's 1533-position model. RNAcentral also lists the same sequence under 1 other name. Lineage: Bacteria; Pseudomonadati; Pseudomonadota; Gammaproteobacteria; Enterobacterales; Enterobacteriaceae. The record is from RNAcentral.